CUGACUUAGAUACGGUCACUGGCCUGGCUGGUGAAAGCAAGCUCAGCGAUGCCUUCAUGUCUGUCCUACAGCCUUGCAGAAUUCCAGCCUGAGUGCUUUGACAUGAUCCCUGCCAACAAUCCAGCUUGGAGAGUGAGUGCUUGUCCCCAGGACUCCUGGCCCACCUGUACGGGAGGGUCAGCUCUGCCACGGAGCCGGCAAAAAGUUCUGUGAUAAAUAAGGUCUGUUGACCAUGUUUCAGCCAGGAUUUGGUGACCAGCUGGUGGCCAGUUGGAUGCAUGCUGCUGGUUUUUCAGUUCAUGCCUGGUUCAAGGCUUGCUGACAGUGCAUCUGCUUUGGACGAGGUUCUUCCCAGAGAUGUGGAAGAUGGUCAACAAGCUCUCUAUCACGCAAUUUCGAUUUACUGCGAGUCCACCUAGUGGCCCAUGGGCUUAUGGUCAGCUUUGCUGGAUAGUGUGAGGCUUGUGAGAACAUCUCAGAAACCCUAAUGCACCCAGGACAAGCUCUGGGAAUCAUUUUACCUGUGCAUGUACCUGACAGGUACAGUUCAGAUCUCAACUUGCCAUUGUCCUUCUCCAGGAGAGCUCCCAGCCCAGCAGCUGAGGUUGUGGCUGGUUUGUUCAGGUCCAAAACUCAGCCAGACCUGGGUUGGGCAAAGAGUCCUUGUGACCACACAAGCGAGGGAAGCCCCAUGGCAUUUUCACCCCUUAUUUCUCCUGCAGAGGUCUGCCUCAUGCUUCUCAGACAGGAUAACCCCAGAUGCUCCUCUGAGAGAUGCCAUGCCCCAGAGAAGUGUUGGCUCUGAGUGCUCAGGCAGGCCAGCAACCAGGCUGGGAAGCCCUUUGCAGCUAAUUGCUGGCAGGGUGGCCAUGAUCAUGGGAAGCCACAACCUGCCAGCCAGAGCCCUUGCUGGGCUCUUCUGUGGUGCGACACACUGCACCAAGGGACCAGGUCUGCUCCAGACCAGGGGGACAAACCAGCCCCAGCUGGGGGACCCCUAGUCCUGGCAAGAUACUUCUGGGAGCCCUCAGCUCUUUCAGCUCUCUCGUAAUGCAGCCACAGACCCUCCAGGAUCUCUCCAUACACCUGCUGGGACUCCAGCCUCUACCAUCCCCCUUCCUGGCUUCCCAGCAGCACCUCCAAAACCUCCAGCUUCAGGUGGGGGUUCCCCUCCUUUGCCAUCUCUCCCCUGAGGUGACCCUUCCUCAGAGCAGCCAUCCUGGUACCCAUCUCCCCAGCGUUGGCCAACCCUCCUAGCUGAGCUGGUGGACAGGACCACACGCUGCCGU
RNAcentral lists this long non-coding RNA (1289 nucleotides) under Calidris pugnax (ruff). Its description in RNAcentral is "lncRNA (ENSCPUG00000016918.1)". Lineage: Eukaryota; Metazoa; Chordata; Aves; Charadriiformes; Scolopacidae. The record is from RNAcentral.